GUGCCCGUAGCUCAGCGGAUUAGAGCGUUGGUUUGCGGAACCAAAGGUCGCGGGUUCAAAUCCCACCGGGCACA
Molecule: transfer RNA, 74 nt
Filed under: Ktedonobacterales bacterium
Lineage: Bacteria; Bacillati; Chloroflexota; Ktedonobacteria; Ktedonobacterales
Description: tRNA-Arg
Rfam family: tRNA
About the family: Transfer RNA (tRNA) molecules are approximately 80 nucleotides in length. Their secondary structure includes four short double-helical elements and three loops (D, anti-codon, and T loops).
Source: RNAcentral